RNAcentral lists this ribosomal RNA (1962 nucleotides) under Triticum aestivum (bread wheat). RNAcentral's name for it is "partial small subunit ribosomal RNA". The record is from RNAcentral. Lineage: Eukaryota; Viridiplantae; Streptophyta; Magnoliopsida; Poales; Poaceae.
AUGGCUGGAGGGCUAGUUGGCUUGCUAUGGGAAGAAUGGGGGAUCCAAGUCCUGGUCCUGCUGAGCUUUAUGUUGCAAGUUUUCCUCCUCACCUUCGCUGGGAUACGUCGGCGCAAAGCUUCCGCGGUGUUGAGGCUCGUUCUUUGGCUAGCGUAUCUGCUGGCUGAUUCCACCGCGAUAUACGCCCUUGGCUGCAUAUCUGUCACCAGCAGAUCCCUUGAGCACAGGUUGGUUGUGUUCUGGGCGCCGUUCCUGGUGUUGCACCUGGGCGGUCAGGACACAAUCACCGCCUACGCCCUUGAGGACAACCGACUAUGGCUGCGCCACUUGCUUACUCUGGUAGUGCAGGUCCUGGGGACUGCUUAUAUUGUAUACAAGGCCAUGGCUGGUGCAGAUACUUUUCUCCUUCUGGCCACCAUGUUCAUGUUCAUCGUUGGUGUGGUCAAGUAUGGCGAAAGAACAUGGGCACUCAGGUGUUCUAAUAUGGCCAACAUCCGAAGCUCACUCAAGAGGACCGGUGUCAAAAACCAUUUGUGUGGUCAACUUCAAGGUAUCAAAGGGGAUCUGGAUCAAGAAAACCUUCUGCUGCUUGCUCACUCUGUCUUCGAUAUUUCCAAGGCAUAUAUGGUUGAUUCUUCAGUUGAGGUGGCUCCAAGGGAUGAUGAUUCUACAGGACUUGUAUCCUUCGGAUGGAAGGAAAUGUGCACAGUGGUCGAGCUGGAGCUCUCCCUCCUGUACGACAUCCUAUAUACUAAGGCGGCAGUGAUCCACACAUGGUACGGAUUUUCCAUCCGUGUGACUGCACUAUCUACAACCCUGGCCGCAUUUUUGUUGUUUCAGUUGAGUAUAAAAGACGGCUUCAGUGCAGUGGAUAUCACUGUCAGUUACAUCUUGGUGGUCGGCGCCUUGCUCCUAGAGAUCGCAUCAGUGCUCAGGUCAAUUGGAUCGACAUGGACAUGUGACUUGAUGCAUUCAAGAAAAUGGCAUCGCCUUCUUCAUAUGGCUGUUUCUCUUCGCCGGUGUGUCGGGGCGCAAAGCUACAGAAGUUGGUCUGGCACCAUUUCACAAUACAACCUGUUACACUUGUGCACCCACGACACGAUGGAUCUCAGUAGCAAGCUAACAAAGAAGAUGGGGCUAGAAGACUUGUGGAAAGAGGUGCAUUUCUCGUGGACCCUUUCUAUGUCAUCAGAUGUCAGAGAGUUGGUGUUCAUGCAGAUCUUGGAAAUUAUGGAAAGCUCAGAGGACGCGGUAAGGAAUGAGAGGGGUGGCUGGGUACUGCGGCGUUCUGGAUUAUAUAGUGAUCUCCGUUGGAGCAUCGACGCUGAUUACCAUGAGAGCAUCCUCAUAUGGAGCAUUGCUACAGAUAUCGUGAUCGUUUGCGGCGAGCAGGCCAAUCUCGAGGAAUCAGCGAGUCUCCGUAAGGCAACCUCGGCAUUGUCCAAUUACAUAUUGUUCCUCCUUGUAGCACUCCCCUCCAUGCUGCCUGGACCCCUUCGCCGCAACCUGUAUGAGCAAACCUGCAAUGACUUGGUUGAUAUAUGGCAUCAUCACGGCUCGACAGAGCCUAGGGAUCAAGCAUCUUUUGGAUGCAACUUCGCCCAUACACUGAAGAAACUAUUCAGCAAAGAUAGCCCCAAUUCUUCAAGGCACCGGGAGAGGGAGAAGCUUGCCAGGAUCCUACUAAGUAAGAAGCAGAAUUUACAGACUAACGACUCUCCCGGCCAUACCCUUCUUCUCGGAAUUCAACUGGCCGAUCAGCUUCUCGGCAAGGAAUCGGAUGUGCCGAACUUCUUGCAAGUGAUCUUUGGGGUGUGGGUGGAGACAUUGUGCCAUGCAGCCAACCGAUGUAGCAGAGACUCCCAUGCCAGGCAACUUAGCAAUGGCGGUGAGCUGACAUCAAUCGUGUGGCUUAUGUCAGGUCUUGUUGGAUGCCUGCCUAAAAGGCAGCCAGGCUUGUAA